UACGUAGGGUGCGAGCGUUAAUCGGAAUUACUGGGCGUAAAGUGUGCGCAGGCGGCGCCGCAAGUCGAGUGUGAAAGCCCCGGGCUUAACUUGGGAAUUGCGCUCGAAACUAUGGUGCUGGAGUGUGGCAGAGGAAGGUGGAAUUCCACGUGUAGCGGUGAAAUGCGCAGAUAUCAGGAAGAACACCGAUGGCGAAAGCAGCUCCUCGU
RNAcentral lists this ribosomal RNA (209 nucleotides) under uncultured bacterium. RNAcentral's name for it is "partial 16S ribosomal RNA". It matches the Rfam family "Bacterial small subunit ribosomal RNA", at positions 524 to 732 of the family's 1533-position model. The record is from RNAcentral.